Long non-coding RNA from Oncorhynchus tshawytscha (Chinook salmon), 635 nucleotides. Lineage: Eukaryota; Metazoa; Chordata; Actinopteri; Salmoniformes; Salmonidae. The record is from Ensembl.
GUGAUGGAGAGGGAAGGAGAGGGAGAGUGAAGGAGAGGGAAGGAAAGGUAGAGUGAAGGAGAGGGAGAGUGAUGGAGAGUGAAGGAGAGGGAGAGUGAUGGAGAGGGAAGGAGAGGGAGAGUGAAGGAGAGGGAAGGAGAGUGAAGGAGAGUGAAGGAGAGGGAGAGUGAUGGAGAGUGAAGGAGAGGGAGAGUGGUGGAGAGGGAAGGAGAGUGAAGGAGAGGGAGAGUGAUGGAGAGUGAAGGAGAGGUAGAGUGAUGGAGAGGGAGAGUGAUGGAGAGGGAGAGUGAUGGAGAGUGAAGGAGAGGGAGAGUGAUGGAGAGGGAAGGAGAGGGAGAGUGAAGGAGAGGGAGAGUGAUGGAGAGUGAAGGAGAGGAGAAGUGAAGGAGAGGGAGAGUGAUGGAGAGGGAGAGUGAUGGAGAGGGAAGGAGAGGGAGAGUGAAAGAGAGGGAGAGUGAUGGAGAGGGAGAGUGAUGGAGAGUGAAGGAGAGGGAGAGUGAAGGAGAGGGAGAGUGAAGGAGAGGGAGAGUGAUGGAGAGGGAAGGAGAGGGAGAGUGAAGGAGAGGGAGAGUGAAGGAGAGGGAGAGGGAAGGAGAGGGAGAGUGAAGGAGAGGGAGAGUGAUGGAGAGGGAAGG